AGGCAUGCAAGUCGAACGAUCCCUUACUUUGUGGGGGAUAGUGGCGAACGGGUGAGUAACGCGUAGGUAAUUUGCCCUUAGGCUCGGGACAACACACCGAAAGGUGUGCUAAUACCGGAUAAGACCACGGUCUCCAAGAGGCCGCGGUUAAAGAUGGGGAUCCUGAAAAUGGACCUGUCACCUUUAGAUGAGCCUGCGUCCUAUCAGCUUGUUGGUGGGGUAAAAGCCUACCAAGGCGACGACGGGUAGCUGGUCUGAGAGGAUGGUCAGUCACACUGGGACUGAGACACUGCCCAGACUCCUACGGGAGGCUGCAGUCGAGAAUCUUUUGCAAUGCCCGAAAGGGUGACAAUGCGACGCCGCGUGAACGAUGAAGGCCUUCGGGUUGUAAAGUUCUGUCAGCAGGGACGAAGGUAGCGGGGUUAAUAACCCCGUUGAUUGACGGUACCUGCAGAGGAAGCCUCGGCUAACUCCGUGCCAGCAGCCGCGGUAAUACGGAGGAGGCAAGCGUUGUUCGGAUUUACUGGGUGUAAAGGUCAGGUAGGCGUUCUUUUAAGUCGGAUGUGAAAUCCCUUGGCUCAACCAAGGAACUGCAUUCGAUACUGGAAGAAUUGAGUACGAGAGAGGUAAGCGGAAUUCCAGAAGUAAAGGUGAAAUUUGUAGAUAUCUGGAAGAACACCAUUAGCGAAGGCGGCUUACUGGCUCGAUACUGACGCUCAACUGAGAAAGCUAGGGGAGCGAACAGGAUUAGAUACCCUGGUAGUCCUAGCUGUAAACGAUGUUCACUAGGUGCAAGCCCUUCGGGGGUUGUGUCGUAGCCAACGCGUUAAGUGAACCACCUGGGGACUACGGUCGCAAGGCUAAAACUCAAAGGAAUUGACGGGGACCCGCACAAGCGGUGGAGCAUGUGGUUUAAUUCGAUGCUACGCGAAGAACCUUACCACCCCUUGACAUCUUGGUCGCGGAAGCUGUAAUGCGCUUCCUUCAGUUCGGCUGGACCAAUGACAGGUGUUGCAUGGCUGUCGUCAGCUCGUGUCGUGAGAUGUUGGGUUAAGUCCCGCAACGAGCGCAACCAUCGUCCUUUGUUGCUAAUCCUUUAUUGGAUGCACUCUAAGGAGACUGCCAGUUUUUAACUGGAGGAAGGAGGAGAUGACGUCAAGUCCGUAUGGCCCUUACGCCUAGGGCUACACACGUGCUACAAUGGUCGGUACAAUGCGUCGCGAGACCGCGAGGUGGAGCUAAUCGCAAAAAGCCGGCCCCAGUUCGGAUCGGAGGCUGCAAUUCGCCUCCGUGAAGUUGGAAUCGCUAGUAACCGCGGAUCAGCCAUGCUGCGGUGAAUACGUUCCCGGGUCUUGUACACACCGCCUGUCAAGUCACCUGAGUUGAGUGCACCCGAAGCCGUUAGCCUAACCUUCACCGGAGGGCGAUGUCGAAGGUGUGCUUGGCAAGGAGGACUAAGUCAUAACAAGGUAGUGGUACCGGAAGGUGCUUCUGGAUCACCUCCUUUCUAAGGAG
Molecule: ribosomal RNA, 1515 nt
Filed under: Candidatus Omnitrophota bacterium
Lineage: Bacteria; Pseudomonadati; Candidatus Omnitrophota
Description: bacterial SSU rRNA
Rfam family: Bacterial small subunit ribosomal RNA
Source: RNAcentral